This 666-nucleotide ribosomal RNA is filed under the name Escherichia coli. Its description in RNAcentral is "partial 23S ribosomal RNA". It matches the Rfam family "Bacterial large subunit ribosomal RNA", at positions 2006 to 2671 of the family's 2925-position model. Lineage: Bacteria; Pseudomonadati; Pseudomonadota; Gammaproteobacteria; Enterobacterales; Enterobacteriaceae. The record is from RNAcentral.
GAUGGCCAGGCUGUCUCCACCCGAGACUCAGUGAAAUUGAACUCGCUGUGAAGAUGCAGUGUACCCGCGGCAAGACGGAAAGACCCCGUGAACCUUUACUAUAGCUUGACACUGAACAUUGAGCCUUGAUGUGUAGGAUAGGUGGGAGGCUUUGAAGUGUGGACGCCAGUCUGCAUGGAGCCGACCUUGAAAUACCACCCUUUAAUGUUUGAUGUUCUAACGUUGACCCGUAAUCCGGGUUGCGGACAGUGUCUGGUGGGUAGUUUGACUGGGGCGGUCUCCUCCUAAAGAGUAACGGAGGAGCACGAAGGUUGGCUAAUCCUGGUCGGACAUCAGGAGGUUAGUGCAAUGGCAUAAGCCAGCUUGACUGCGAGCGUGACGGCGCGAGCAGGUGCGAAAGCAGGUCAUAGUGAUCCGGUGGUUCUGAAUGGAAGGGCCAUCGCUCAACGGAUAAAAGGUACUCCGGGGAUAACAGGCUGAUACCGCCCAAGAGUUCAUAUCGACGGCGGUGUUUGGCACCUCGAUGUCGGCUCAUCACAUCCUGGGGCUGAAGUAGGUCCCAAGGGUAUGGCUGUUCGCCAUUUAAAGUGGUACGCGAGCUGGGUUUAGAACGUCGUGAGACAGUUCGGUCCCUAUCUGCCGUGGGCGCUGGAGAACUGAGGGGGG